Molecule: transfer RNA, 75 nt
Filed under: Oregonichthys crameri (Oregon chub)
Lineage: Eukaryota; Metazoa; Chordata; Actinopteri; Cypriniformes; Leuciscidae
Description: tRNA-Pro
Rfam family: tRNA
About the family: Transfer RNA (tRNA) molecules are approximately 80 nucleotides in length. Their secondary structure includes four short double-helical elements and three loops (D, anti-codon, and T loops).
Source: RNAcentral
CUAUCAGAAGAUAGUUUAAUUUAGAAUUCUGGCUUUGGGAGCCAGGGGUGGGAGUUAAACUCUCCCUUUUCUGGG